RNAcentral lists this transfer RNA (74 nucleotides) under Bacillus phage vB_BanS-Thrax4. RNAcentral describes it as "tRNA-Asp". It matches the Rfam family "tRNA". From Rfam's summary of the family: Transfer RNA (tRNA) molecules are approximately 80 nucleotides in length. Their secondary structure includes four short double-helical elements and three loops (D, anti-codon, and T loops). Further hydrogen bonds mediate the characteristic L-shaped molecular structure. tRNAs have two regions of fundamental functional importance: the anti-codon, which is responsible for specific mRNA codon recognition, and the 3' end, to which the tRNAs corresponding amino acid is attached (by aminoacyl-tRNA synthetases). tRNAs cope with the degeneracy of the genetic code in two manners: having more than one tRNA (with a specific anti-codon) for a particular amino acid; and 'wobble' base-pairing, i.e. permitting non-standard base-pairing at the 3rd anti-codon position. Lineage: Duplodnaviria; Heunggongvirae; Uroviricota; Caudoviricetes. The record is from RNAcentral.
GGCUCGUUAGUUUAAAGGCAAAAUACUGCACUGUCUAUGCAGAGUUAGGGGUUCGAUUCCCCUACGGGUCGCCA